ACGGAAGGCAGCAGUGGGGGAUAUUGCACAAUGGGGGAAACCCUGAUGCAGCGACGCCGCGUGAGUGAUGAAGUAUUUCGGUAUGUAAAGCUCCAUCAGCAGGAAAGAUAAUGACGGUACCUGACUAAGAAGCACCGGCUAACUACGUGCCAGCAGCCGCGGUAAUACGUAGGGGGCAAGCGUUAUCCGGAUUUACUGGGUGUAAAGGGCGCGUAGGCGGGGAUGCAAGUCAGAUGUGAAAUCCAUGGGCUUAACUCAUGAACUGCAUUUGAAACUGUAUCUCUAGAGUGUCGGAGAGGUAGAUGGAAUUCCUAGUGUAGCGGUGAAAUGCGUAGAUAUUAGGAGGAACACCAGUGGCGAAGGCGAGCUACUGGACGAUAACUGACGCUGAGGCGCGAAAGCGUGGGGAGCAAACAGGAUUAGAUACCCUGGGA
Molecule: ribosomal RNA, 434 nt
Filed under: uncultured Lachnospiraceae bacterium
Lineage: Bacteria; Bacillati; Bacillota; Clostridia; Lachnospirales; Lachnospiraceae
Description: partial 16S ribosomal RNA
Rfam family: Bacterial small subunit ribosomal RNA
Source: RNAcentral